UUCUAACCGUAAACGAUGACAACCAGCGAUUAAUCGGCGUUAAUAUAUGACCCGAUUAGCAGCUUCCGGGAAACCAAAGUUUUUCGUUUCCGGGGGAAGUAUGGUUGCAAAGCUGAAACUUAAAGGAAUUGACGGAAGGGCACCACCAGGAGUGGAGCCUGCGGCUUAAUUUGACUCAACACGGGAAAACUCACCCGGCCCGGACACCGUAAGGAUUGACAGACUGAGAGCUCUUUCUUAAUUCGGUGGGUGGUGGUGCAUGGCCGUUCUUAGUUGGUGGAGCGAUUUGUCUGGUUAAUUCCGAUAACGAACGAGACUCUGGCCUAUUAAAUAGACGAUAUAUUUAAAAGUAUAUCGCGCUUCUUAGAGGGACAAGCGGCGUCUAGCCGCAUGAAAUAGAGCAAUAACAGGUCUGUGAUGCCCUUAGAUGUCCGGGGCUGCACGCGCGCUACACUGAAAGAAUCAGUGUGCGUUACGCCUAGUUCGGAAGAACCGGGUAACCCAAGUAAAUUCUUUCGUGCUUGGGAUAGGGAAUUGCAAUUAUUUCCCUUAACGAGGAAUUCCCAGUAAUGCGGGUCAUAAGCUCGCGUUGAUUA
This 596-nucleotide ribosomal RNA is filed under the name Aporcelaimellus environmental sample. RNAcentral's name for it is "SSU rRNA". It matches the Rfam family "Eukaryotic small subunit ribosomal RNA", at positions 1024 to 1647 of the family's 1831-position model. Lineage: Eukaryota; Metazoa; Nematoda; Enoplea; Dorylaimida; Aporcelaimidae. The record is from RNAcentral.